CUAAUUUUAGAAUCGAUGAUAAAUUGAAGGACCUCAAGUGAACUAACUCCGAGGAUAAAUCCACAUAGAAAAAGUACACCCAAGGUCCCUCAACUUGUUAUCGGGAUAAAAAACG
This 115-nucleotide unclassified non-coding RNA is filed under the name Oryza sativa (Asian cultivated rice). RNAcentral describes it as "partial microRNA MIR458b precursor". The record is from RNAcentral. Lineage: Eukaryota; Viridiplantae; Streptophyta; Magnoliopsida; Poales; Poaceae.